AAAGGAAUAGACGGGGGCCCGCACAAGCAGCGGAGCAUGUGGUUUAAUUCGAAGCAACGCGAAGAACCUUACCAGGGCUUGACAUCUCCUGCCAACUGUAGAAAUACAGCCUUCCCUUUUGGGACAGGAAGACAGGUGGUGCAUGGUUGUCGUCAGCUCGUGUCGUGAGAUGUUGGGUUAAGUCCCGCAACGAGCGCAACCCCUAUCUUUAGUUGCUAGCAGGUCAAGCUGAGCACUCUAAAGAGACUGCCGGUGACAAACCGGAGGAAGGUGGGGAUGACGUCAAAUCAUCAUGCCCCUUAUGCCCUGGGCGACACACGUGCUACAAUGGCCUGAACAGAGGGAAGCAAGACCGUAAGGUGGAGCGAAUCCCAUAAAACAGGUCCCAGUUCGGAUUGUGGGCUGCAACUCGCCCACAUGAAGCCGGAGUUGCUAGUAAUCGCGGAUCAGCAUGUCGCGGUGAAUGCGUUCCCGGGCCUUGUACACACCGCCCGU
This 495-nucleotide ribosomal RNA is filed under the name uncultured bacterium. RNAcentral's name for it is "bacterial SSU rRNA". It matches the Rfam family "Bacterial small subunit ribosomal RNA", at positions 903 to 1397 of the family's 1533-position model. The record is from RNAcentral.